Molecule: RNA transcript, 2629 nt
Organism: Dioscorea cayenensis subsp. rotundata (Guinea yam)
Lineage: Eukaryota; Viridiplantae; Streptophyta; Magnoliopsida; Dioscoreales; Dioscoreaceae
Exons: 7
Source: RefSeq, a predicted model, not a curated record
CGUUUCAUUCUCUUCUUUGGGUUUCCAUUGAAUCUCUCGUCCUUUGGUUCAAUCUCGUUGAGCAAAUCGCCAUGGAAUCCACCGUGGAGACCUCGCCGGAUCUGGAGAAGAAGACCUUCUUCUUGGAUGCUGAAGCCUCGCCGAGGAAUUCAAGCGCAAACUCCAGAAAGAUUUUUGUCUUGCAGAAUGUUGGUUCAAGAGAGUCUGGGAAUUCAAUGCUGAAUUCUGUGAACAAACAAACUCCACAAAUUAAGAAACCCCAUCGUAGAAAUGGUUCCCCUCUCUAUUGGUUUCCUAGGAAGAAGACAGACUCAUUUUUGAAGAGAAAAUUGAGACGUCUGCAGGAAGCUGGGGGAAUGAGCUCAACUCUGGAGGAAUUCCUAGAUAGUGCCAACCCUCAUUACUCGAGGAUGAUGAGGGAAAAGAUUGCCGCCAGAGAGGCAGCAAAUAAGGCCAUGGAAGCUCGUAAAGCUGCAAUGAUUGAAGGUUCUUGGUGUCGAAUACUGCGAGCAGCCAGGAUUCAAAGCAAAGAAGCAGAAACUAAAUUGGCUGAGGCAGAGAAACAUGUGGCAGAAGCUUUUGAAGCAGCAAAAGCAAUGGGAGUAAUGAUGUAUGAUAGGCCUGAUUGUCCAAGGGGGCCAUGCAAAAUUCAGACAUCCUCAGCCAUUGGGGGAAGAUCCACUCAUACAGUCACUGCCUCUUUUGAGACGGCAUUUGAAGUAGACAAGGAAGUUGCUGCAGCAGUGAAAAAAGCAUUUGUUCGACUAGCCAGUUGUCCCUCCUCUUCAAAUAAAGAGGAGUUCAGAAAUCUGCUUCUUAAGAUUAGCCAGAAUCCAGAUUCUAUUGAGGCUGAUCAAGAAAUCUCAGAGGUGACUUCAGAGUGUGAAUUUGAUCCUGGGUCAGAACUAGAGGUGGAUGUGCAAAAUGCUGGAGGCCUUGCUGUUGGUGAUGUAUGUAGGAAAUCAGAUAUUCAAACUAAAGAAAGAAGAUGUAUAAACGAGCAUCCUCCAACUGAUCAUGAUGAAAUUCACUCUAGUUCAUCCCAAGAUCUCGUUAGUGAAAUGCUGGACAGGCUUAGAUGUUUACAGGAAGAUCAACUUGCUUCUCUUGCAGUUAUCGUUGCCACUUGUGGCUUGAAUGCUGCUCUCCUUGAAGCAGAUAGUGGCAAAGAUCAUGGAAUAGAGGCUGUAACUGAGAGCAUUUCAGCUUCAGUGAUUCCUCGCCCCAAAAAUAUGGCUUUACUUGGGACUAAUGGAAGGCGAUAUUCCAGUGUAACUAAGUUCAUUGGUGGUGAUACAAGGAAAGAAGCUGAAGCAGAAUUGCCAAGCUUAGACAAGUUUUUGGUCAAGCAUGUAUCUAAAUUUGAAAGAGAAGUCCAAGAAGCGAGAAAGAAAGAGGAUCAUAGAGCUUCAGGAGCAUCUGUGUUGCAGGUUGUUAAGGAACGGGAGAAAGUUCACACAUCUGGCAAGAUUACAUCAUCAGAUUCCAUGUCUGAUCUUGGAAGUAUUCUUGUAAAACAUGUCUCCAGACUAGAAAGAGAAAUCCAGAAAGCCAAGUCUCAGAAUAAUAGUCAAAUGAUUGCAAAAGGAAAGGAUGCAGAAGGUGCAAGUGUUAAGGAUGUUAUGGUUGCACCCGCACCUGAAGGCAACAGAGACUCUGGAGGAGUCCUUGUAGAGCACUCCUUAAAUGGGGAAUUGGACACUGAAAGGGGAGGGUGCAAACAGUCAAGAAAUUCAGAAAGAUUGACUGAAAAAUCAGAACAGCAUGACUUGUUUCACGAAGCACAAGUAGACAAGGAAAACAUGGACUGUAAUAUUGAAGAGACGCAGAUGUCACGAAUUCAAGGAGCUAAGGUGGAGGCACAAAGAACAUUAAAAGCUCGAGAUGAGCUAACUGGGCUUGAAAAGAUCUUAGUAAAGCCUGUUCAUAGGUUGGAGAAAGAUAAAAUGCAAGCCUUGGAAAAAGGAAGUCAUUAUAUCAUUAAGAAAGAGAACAGGAAGCAUGGGCAUGGUGUUGCAGCUUCAGAGAGUUUAGAUAAGAUCUUAGUAAAACAUGUAUCCAGACUUGAGAAGGAGAAACUGGCCCAUUGCAAGAGUGAGGAUUCGGUGACUGUGAAGAAAAGAGAUCAGUUUGCUGACAGGAAUACAGAGAGUUUAGAUGAAAUUUUGGUCAAACAUCAAUCUAAACUAGAGAAGGCCAAGAUUGCAGUAUCUCAACAAUCAGCAGAUGACCGCAUUAAGACUGUGGAUUCUCGUAAGCAAGCUCGGGAAAAGGAAUUACUAGAAGCUUGGGGAGGAUUGAGUUUAGGAAAUUCUAUCAGACCUCAUCUUUCAAGACUUGAGCGAGAUAAGGCUGCUUGGAGGAAGGCAGAGGAGGAAGAACGAAGACAAAACACCACAAUGCAGCUCUGAAUCCAUUGACAUUCUCCACUGAACAAAAUUUUUAUUUGGCCACUUGAUCUGUUGAAACCAAAGAGUCUAGCAAAAACAAAAGCAAAUGGCCACUUGAUCUGGAAACCAAGGUUACAAGCUGACUACUUUUCCAGGGGUGUAUAACCAAAAAUUCGAAAAGCAAUCUUGGGCUUAAGAGAAAUUUUUAGUUUCAAUUGGGUUAAACUGUAAAAAGCCAU